This 866-nucleotide ribosomal RNA is filed under the name uncultured bacterium. RNAcentral's name for it is "bacterial SSU rRNA". It matches the Rfam family "Bacterial small subunit ribosomal RNA", at positions 8 to 868 of the family's 1533-position model. The record is from RNAcentral.
AGAGUUUGAUUAUGGCUCAGAUUGAACGCUGGCGGCAGGCCUAACACAUGCAAGUCGAGCGGUAGAGAGAAGCUUGCUUCUCUUGAGAGCGGCGGACGGGUGAGUAAUGCCUAGGAAUCUGCCUGGUAGUGGGGGAUAACGUUCGGAAACGGACGCUAAUACCGCAUACGUCCUACGGGAGAAAGCAGGGGGCCUUCGGGCCUUGCGCUAUCAGAUGAGCCUAGGUCGGAUUAGCUAGUUGGUGAGGUAAUGGCUCACCAAGGCGACGAUCCGUAACUGGUCUGAGAGGAUGAUCAGUCACACUGGAACUGAGACACGGUCCAGACUCCUACGGGAGGCAGCAGUGGGGAAUAUUGGACAAUGGGCGAAAGCCUGAUCCAGCCAUGCCGCGUGUGUGAAGAAGGUCUUCGGAUUGUAAAGCACUUUAAGUUGGGAGGAAGAGCGGUUACCUAAUACGUGAUUGUUUUGACGUUACCGACAGAAUAAGCACCGGCUAACUCUGUGCCAGCAGCCGCGGUAAUACAGAGGGUGCAAGCGUUAAUCGGAAUUACUGGGCGUAAAGCGCGCGUAGGUGGUUAGUUAAGUUGGAUGUGAAAUCCCCGGGCUCAACCUGGGAACUGCAUUCAAAACUGACUGACUAGAGUAUGGUAGAGGGUGGUGGAAUUUCCUGUGUAGCGGUGAAAUGCGUAGAUAUAGGAAGGAACACCAGUGGCGAAUGCGACCACCUGGACUGAUACUUGACACUGAGGUGCGAAAGCGUGGGGAGCAAACUGGAUUAGAUACCCUGGUAGUCCACGCCGUAAACGAUGUCAACUAGCCGUUGGGAGCCUUGAGCUCUUAGUGGCGCAGCUAACGCAUUAAGUUGA